UUUUUUUUUUUUUUGCUUAUUUAUAGGUGCUGUAUUUUAUUAUCUGAUUGUUAGGAAGGGAUGAAAGGGGGCAAAUAUUCUUUAGAGGGAUAGACUGCCGGCAGUAUUGGGUAUAAUUUACAAGAUGUAGUUGUCAUACUGUAUAUUAUUGAUUGAAGACUUUUUGACCGUAUUGUGUAUCAUUGAACUUUUGUCUUAGGUCAGCAUCUUUUUGAUGACACUUUAAUGGUGCAUUCAUUACUUCUUAAGUUUAAUUAAUAUUACUUUUCUGAUUUUGGGGGAGGGAGGGAUGGGGAGAGGAGUUCCGACUUUAAAGGUAUGUUCCCAAUAUUACACCUCAGUGUGCUUGUAUUAAUUCAUUAGUAGGAUUUUUGACUGUAAGAUGUGAAACCACAUUUCUUGCAUGAUGUUUUAGAACUUAUGUAUUUCAUUUACAGUCUCUUAACAUGCAACAGCAGCACUUAGCGCAAGUUUUCACAAAUUAAGAAUCAGUACACUAAAAUCAGUCCUUUUCAUGAUUGAGAAAAGAAGGCUCUAGGAGGCUGAAAGGCAGGGAUUUAUUUCCUAUUUUUACUGCUAGCUGUUUCAGGAUACCUCCUUGGGUAAUUGGGGACUUGUGAUGCAAACCUAAAAUUGAGAAACAGAGAGAGCAACUGCCCCUUUCUAUGAUGAGCUGAGGAGGCGAUUUGUAAUAACAGACACCAGUGUGUGACAGCACGUGCUGGAAGCGGUUAUGGCUUCUGAUCUGGAGUGCAGUUAGUCCGCGGGAACAGCCAGCGAGGGAAAUAACAUGGUGAAGCAAAGUGUUACCUCUCUGUAUGUGUACAGUGUCCUGGUUUGACUUACAAAGCACAGCUCCAUCGAUAAAUGCACGUCCUGGUAAAAAUACACAUACCUUAAUACAAGUCAUAACAAGAUGUGUCUUCAGGCAAGAAGCAAAACUUGUCACUGGAAGACGCAGAUAUUUUCUUAUGUUCUUUAUUUUUUUUCUUUGUUGUUGUUUGGUUCAGGUUGGGUUUUUUUAUAGGCAAUACACUUGCCAGUCUGUCUCUACUGUCCUUGUCUGCUGAUUUGAGAUCCAGGUGCUUGAUGCAGUCAAGUGGUUACUCUCGGCUUUCUCCAUAGUGAGGGGUUUUUUUCUGUUUGAAGAUUUAUUUUUGUUCUUUAAAUUAAUAUUCCCCAAACUGUUCUUGUGCCUGUGUCUAUAUGAUUGCAUUCCAUGAUGCUUACUGAGAGCUCUUGCUGCAUUGUACGACAGCAGAACUGUAUUCGUAGGUUGAACGCAAAUGCAGCACUUAAGGUCAGUCUCUCUUCUUAAUAAGCAAUACGUAAGUGCCUUGAAACUUAGAUCUUCUGGUUUUUUUAUGUUUAUUUUUGUUUUGCUUUUCAGGUUUCCACUAGUUCUGUAGGAUUCUUUAGCGUCUGCCCAGUUUUUAAUGCUGUAAUGAUUUUUAAAAAGCAUAUCUGUAGCUUGCCCUAGAGGAAAUCUUUCUUUUAUAACACUAACUGUUAAUUCUAAGCUCCAUUAUUACAUUUGAAUUGUGUAAUUUUGCUGGAUAAAGACAGCAUUCAUAAGUCAGAAGUCACUCCAUCCUGCCAAGGGUUGUCAUUGGUCUCUAUUAUAAAAUUAAUCAAAUAAAAUGCUGUCAGUAUUUCCUAUA
Long non-coding RNA from Strigops habroptila (Kakapo), 1661 nucleotides. The record is from Ensembl. Lineage: Eukaryota; Metazoa; Chordata; Aves; Psittaciformes; Psittacidae.